Long non-coding RNA from Mercenaria mercenaria, 390 nucleotides. RefSeq lists it as uncharacterized. The record is from RefSeq and is a predicted model, not a curated record. Lineage: Eukaryota; Metazoa; Mollusca; Bivalvia; Venerida; Veneridae. The transcript has 2 exons.
CAGAUUGCCCUGUACAUGUUCCAGACCAGGGACCGCCGAGAGAGUUAUGGAUUAUAGGGGCUACACUGGGACCAUUUCUUGCUGUUAUCAUCAUUUCCCUUGUUGCAGCUUAUUGUCUCAAGAGAAAGAGACCACGCAUCAAGGAGAUGAAUGCGGCUGGGAAUCCAAUAUAUCAAGAUGAUUGAUGCAAAUCUCCGUAGAAAAGUAUUCAAUGAUUUAAAUUUUUGCUAUAUGUACUAGACAUCUAGACAUUAUAUAAUGUACGCAAUGAAAACCGUAAGAGUCUAGAUAUGAAGGACAGAAACUUUUGAUUGAUUAUACAUAUACUUUCAAUCUUUCAGUUGUAUAAGAAAUAAGAGACCAAAUAUAUUUUAGUUUGAUUUCUUGUUA